GAUAACGGCGUCGAGCGGCGGACGGGUGAGUAAUGCCUAGGAAAUUGCCCUGAUGUGGGGGAUAACCAUUGGAAACGAUGGCUAAUACCGCAUAAUGCCUACGGGCCAAAGAGGGGGACCUUCGGGCCUCUCGCGUCAGGAUAUGCCUAGGUGGGAUUAGCUAGUUGGUGAGGUAAUGGCUCACCAAGGCGACGAUCCCUAGCUGGUCUGAGAGGAUGAUCAGCCACACUGGAACUGAGACACGGUCCAGACUCCUACGGGAGGCAGCAGUGGGGAAUAUUGCACAAUGGGCGCAAGCCUGAUGCAGCCAUGCCGCGUGUGUGAAGAAGGCCUUCGGGUUGUAAAGCACUUUCAGUCGUGAGGAAGGUGGUGUAGUUAAUAGCUGUAUUACUUGACGUUAGCGACAGAAGAAGCACCGGCUAACUCCGUGCCAGCAGCCGCGGUAAUAC
RNAcentral lists this ribosomal RNA (449 nucleotides) under Vibrio owensii. Its description in RNAcentral is "bacterial SSU rRNA". It matches the Rfam family "Bacterial small subunit ribosomal RNA", at positions 78 to 526 of the family's 1533-position model. The record is from RNAcentral. Lineage: Bacteria; Pseudomonadati; Pseudomonadota; Gammaproteobacteria; Vibrionales; Vibrionaceae.